Molecule: ribosomal RNA, 346 nt
Filed under: uncultured bacterium
Lineage: Bacteria
Description: partial 16S ribosomal RNA
Rfam family: Bacterial small subunit ribosomal RNA
Source: RNAcentral
CCUACGGGCGGCAGCAGUGAGGAAUAUUGGUCAAUGGACGAGAGUCUGAACCAGCCAAGUAGCGUGAAGGAUGACUGCCCUAUGGGUUGUAAACUUCUUUUAUAAAGGAAUAAAACGAGGCACGUGUGCCUUUUUGCAUGUACUUUAUGAAUAAGGAUCGGCUAACUCCGUGCCAGCAGCCGCGGUAAUACGGAGGAUCCGAGCGUUAUCCGGAUUUAUUGGGUUUAAAGGGAGCGUAGAUGGGUUGUUAAGUCAGUUGUGAAAGUUUGCGGGUCAACCGUAAAAUUGCAAUUGAUACUGGAGGGAUUGAGUACAGUUGAGGAAGGAGGAAUGCGGAGUGUAGCGG